This is a small nuclear RNA of Anolis carolinensis (green anole), 102 nucleotides long. The record is from Ensembl. Lineage: Eukaryota; Metazoa; Chordata; Lepidosauria; Squamata; Anolidae.
GUGUUCUGUGAAAGGAGAUAAGUUUAGUAUUCCUAUUGAUAAGGAUGCAAUAGGAUCUAUCGACAGAUAUGCAGAUAUGAUUAAAGUAUUGUCAGUCUUUGU